RNAcentral lists this non-coding RNA (204 nucleotides) under Oscillospiraceae bacterium. RNAcentral describes it as "6S RNA". It matches the Rfam family "6S / SsrS RNA". Rfam says of the family: E. coli 6S RNA was the first non coding RNA to be sequenced, but its function was unknown until recently. It consists of 184 nucleotides that fold into an extended hairpin structure with a large single-stranded internal bulge. Lineage: Bacteria; Bacillati; Bacillota; Clostridia; Eubacteriales; Oscillospiraceae. The record is from RNAcentral.
AUGUUCCUGCUCUGUACGCGAACUCAAACAGCUUUUAUAACCCUACAAGUUAUGAAACGGGAGCUCGGCUCCCGCGGCGGGUUUGCAGGCCUCCCGGUACUUUCGGGUGCCGGAUGUUGGAAGCGCAAUGCCGUGGGGAGGGCACCCACCUGCUUUUUUUGUUGCAGGUUAUCAUAGGCUGUUGUACGGCAGAGCGGGAAUCUU